Molecule: ribosomal RNA, 492 nt
Filed under: uncultured bacterium
Lineage: Bacteria
Description: partial 16S ribosomal RNA
Rfam family: Bacterial small subunit ribosomal RNA
Source: RNAcentral
AGUGAACGCUGGCGGUAGGCCUAACACAUGCAAGUCGAACGGCAGCACAGUAAGAGCUUGCUCUUACGGGUGGCGAGUGGCGGACGGGUGAGGAAUACAUCGGAAUCUACUUUUUCGUGGGGGAUAACGUAGGGAAACUUACGCUAAUACCGCAUACGACCUACGGGUGAAAGCAGGGGAUCUUCGGACCUUGCGCGAUUGAAUGAGCCGAUGUCGGAUUAGCUAGUUGGCGGGGUAAAGGCCCACCAAGGCGACGAUCCGUAGCUGGUCUGAGAGGAUGAUCAGCCACACUGGAACUGAGACACGGUCCAGACUCCUACGGGAGGCAACAGUGGGGAAUAUUGGACAAUGGGCGCAAGCCUGAUCCAGCCAUACCGCGUGGGUGAAGAAGGCCUUCGGGUUGUAAAGCCCUUUUGUUGGGAAAGAAAAGCAGCAGGUUAAUACCCCGCUGUUCUGACGGUACCCAAAGAAUAAGCGCCGGCUAACUUCGUG